Molecule: ribosomal RNA, 468 nt
Filed under: uncultured bacterium
Lineage: Bacteria
Description: partial 16S ribosomal RNA
Rfam family: Bacterial small subunit ribosomal RNA
Source: RNAcentral
GACGAACGCUGGCGGCAUGCUUAACACAUGCAAGUCGAACGGAAAGGCCCGGCCUUGUGGGGCUCCUCGACUUGCGAAGGGGGGAGUAACCCGUAAGUUACCUGUCCUUGACUGUGGGAGAUGUUCAGGAAACUGGGUCUAAUACGGGAUAGGAUUUCUUGCUUCUGGGUGGGGGUGGGUAAGUUUCGGCGGUUGGUGAUGGACUCGCGGCUUAUGAGCUUGUUGGUGGGGUAGUGUCUUAGCAAGGCUUUGACGGGUAGCCGGCCUGAGAGGGUGACCGGCCACACUGGGACUGGGAUACGGCCCAGACUAGUACGGGACGCAGGGGUGGAGAGUAUUGUACUAUAGGAGGAAGCAUAGUGUGGCAACGCCGCGUGGGGGAUGAGAGGAUUGGGGUUGUAAAGCAAUUCCGCUUGUGACGAGGCGUGAGUGACGGUAAUGGGUAAAGAAGCACCGGCUAACUACGUG